GAAAAUAUAAGGGAUUUUGGCCUUUGGGUAUCUGGGUGUUGCAUUCUUCUGGUAUUAGUGAUAAGACCUACAAAGUGAAGCAAUGUGCAUCUAGAAUGAUGGUAAAUAUUCCUUGUUGGAUCUAUUGGCAAGGGCAACAAGUGUCUACGAAAAUAAAUUGAAUGUAUUAGUAUUGUAUUUUGAGAGCAAAAAUGGUGGAGAAGCAUCUUGUCCUUGUAAUUUGGUUUCCUCAUAGAUUGAAUAUUUCUUUUUCUGGGUUUUAGAUUUGUAAAGCAGAAGACCAUUUUUUGAAAAUAA
Long non-coding RNA from Pistacia vera, 297 nucleotides. RefSeq lists it as uncharacterized. The transcript is spliced from 3 exons. The record is from RefSeq and is a predicted model, not a curated record. NCBI's taxonomy places the organism in Eukaryota, Viridiplantae, Streptophyta, Magnoliopsida, Sapindales, Anacardiaceae.